AGAAUCAACGCUGGCGGCGUGCCUCAGACAUGCAAGUCGAACGCGAAAGCCCCCUUCGGGGGGCAAGUGGAGUGGCGCACGGGUGAGUAACACGUAGGUAAUCUACCUUCGGAUGGGGAAUAACAAUCGGAAACGGUUGCUAAUACCGCAUAAUGCAGCGGCACCUAAUGGUGACAGUUGUUAAAGCGGGGGAUCGAAAGACCUCGCGUCUGAAGAGGAGCCUGCGGCGGAUUAGCUAGUUGGUAAGGUAAUGGCUUACCAAGGCUACGAU
This 271-nucleotide ribosomal RNA is filed under the name uncultured soil bacterium. RNAcentral's name for it is "partial 16S ribosomal RNA". It matches the Rfam family "Bacterial small subunit ribosomal RNA", at positions 26 to 280 of the family's 1533-position model. The record is from RNAcentral.